GACGAACGCUGGCGGCGUGCUUAACACAUGCAAGUCGAACGAGAAUCUGCUGAAGGAGGAUUCGUCCAACGGAAGCAGAGGAAAGUGGCGGACGGGUGAGUAACGCGUGAGGAACCUGCCUUGAAGAGGGGGACAACAGUUGGAAACGACUGCUAAUACCGCAUGACGCAUAGAGGUCGCAUGAUCUUUAUGCCAAAGAUUUAUCGCUUCAAGAUGGCCUCGCGUCUGAUUAGCUAGUUGGCGGGGUAACGGCCCACCAAGGCGACGAUCGGUAGCCGGACUGAGAGGUUGAACGGCCACAUUGGGACUGAGACACGGCCCAGACUCCUACGGGAGGCAGCAGUGGGGAAUAUUGGGCAAUGGGCGCAAGCCUGACCCAGCAACGCCGCGUGAAGGAAGAAGGCUUUCGGGUUGUAAACUUCUUUUAAGAGGGACGAAAGGAAUGACGGUACCUCUUGAAUAAGCUCCGGCUAACUACGUG
This 481-nucleotide ribosomal RNA is filed under the name uncultured bacterium. Its description in RNAcentral is "bacterial SSU rRNA". It matches the Rfam family "Bacterial small subunit ribosomal RNA", at positions 28 to 507 of the family's 1533-position model. The record is from RNAcentral.